RNAcentral lists this long non-coding RNA (909 nucleotides) under Cyanistes caeruleus (blue tit). RNAcentral describes it as "lncRNA (ENSCCEG00000014845.1)". The record is from RNAcentral. Lineage: Eukaryota; Metazoa; Chordata; Aves; Passeriformes; Paridae.
UGCAAAUGGAAUCUCAGGUGCCCACCUAGUCUCCUGCAGUGUACUACCAGAAACUAGGUUUCAUUUCAGGCAAGAAAAUAGUAACAUAUACACACAAGAAGAAUGCAGGAACCAAACUGUCAAAAAGGGCUGUAGCUCCCACUGAUGCAGAGAAAUGUUAGGUGAGUAUCCCAGGAGCAUCCCAGACACUGGUGACCCCAGAUGUCGAAGCCAUAGGAAUAGGAGAACACUCCUCAUAGCAAGAGUGAAAGCCCACAUUGACUGGCCAGCUAAGUAUGAACCUCAGGAACCAGGAAACUCAGAGAAUUAUCUAACAAACAUUUUUCAGUUGUCCUUUCUGUGUCCUCAUCCCAGUGUGAACUGAAGAUCUUUGUGGUAAAAGUGGAGAUUAAGGGCUGCUAUGCUUAGGAGCCAAAGUUCCUCACAUAUUCAGAGGGAGGGAGACUCUGGAGAAGGUUUUGAAAGCACCUGAAAUAGAGACCUACUGAUGGAGUAAGUGGCCACAACUUGAGAUAUAAAAAUAAGGGGUUUAGAGGUAAAUUAUUUCUUCUCUCCUGUUAAGGCAUCAAACUGAUUGCCACAAGUUCCCCUAGAUCAUCAUGGGUCUGGUUGGUUUUGGAACGUUUUUUUCUUCCUUUUACUGUAUGAAACCUGGCUGGUCUGGGCAUACCUCACUUCAUUGCUGCUGAAGAGCUUUGGGCAGUGAGGGCACUUCCGUGUAUAUGACAAUGACAUGACAAGGGGUUGAUAUGCAAUAGAAAGAAAAUAGAUAAUAUUUAAUAGAAUUACUGUUUUAGUAUAAAUUAUAAGUUUUCUUGAACAGUAGAAUUAACAAAACGUGUUUAUGUCAUUACCUCUCACCCAGGUCCACAAAGCUCCUUUCCCCUCUCAUCCCCACCAAGAAUUACA